Molecule: transfer RNA, 71 nt
Filed under: Urocitellus parryii (Arctic ground squirrel)
Lineage: Eukaryota; Metazoa; Chordata; Mammalia; Rodentia; Sciuridae
Also listed under: 1 other name
Description: Spermophilus parryii (Arctic ground squirrel) tRNA
Rfam family: tRNA
About the family: Transfer RNA (tRNA) molecules are approximately 80 nucleotides in length.
Source: Rfam by way of RNAcentral
GUGGUUGUGGCUCAGCGGUAGAGCGCUCGCCUAGCAUGUGCAAGGCCCUGGGUUCAAUCCUCAGCACCACA